RNAcentral lists this transfer RNA (63 nucleotides) under Aphaena amabilis. RNAcentral's name for it is "tRNA-Ser". Lineage: Eukaryota; Metazoa; Arthropoda; Insecta; Hemiptera; Fulgoridae. The record is from RNAcentral.
AGUUAAUAAGCUCUAAGCAAUAUAACUUGAAAUUAUAUAAAAGUAAAAAAAUACUAUUAACUU